UCCCCCGUAGCUCAGCGGUAGAGUAGACGACUGUUAAUCGUUUGGUCAUUGGUUCGAAUCCAAUUGGGGGAGCCA
Molecule: transfer RNA, 75 nt
Filed under: Candidatus Altimarinota bacterium
Lineage: Bacteria; Candidatus Altimarinota
Description: tRNA-Asn
Rfam family: tRNA
About the family: Transfer RNA (tRNA) molecules are approximately 80 nucleotides in length. Their secondary structure includes four short double-helical elements and three loops (D, anti-codon, and T loops).
Source: RNAcentral